Molecule: ribosomal RNA, 481 nt
Filed under: uncultured bacterium
Lineage: Bacteria
Description: partial 16S ribosomal RNA
Rfam family: Bacterial small subunit ribosomal RNA
Source: RNAcentral
GACGAACGCUGGCGGCACGCUUAACACAUGCAAGUCGAACGAGAGAAGAGGAGCUUGCUUUUCUGAUCUAGUGGCGGACGGGUGAGUAACACGUGAGCAAUCUGCCUUUCAGAGGGGGAUACCGAUUGGAAACGAUCGUUAAUACCGCAUAACAUAAUUGAACCGCAUGAUUUGAUUAUCAAAGAUUUAUCGCUGAAAGAUGAGCUCGCGUCUGAUUAGCUAGUUGGUAAGGUAACGGCUUACCAAGGCGACGAUCAGUAGCCGGACUGAGAGGUUGAUCGGCCACAUUGGGACUGAGACACGGCCCAGACUCCUACGGGAGGCAGCAGUGGGGAAUAUUGCACAAUGGAGGAAACUCUGAUGCAGCGAUGCCGCGUGAGGGAAGAAGGUUUUAGGAUUGUAAACCUCUGUCUUCAGGGACGAAAAAAGACGGUACCUGAGGAGGAAGCUCCGGCUAACUACGUGCCAGCCGCCGCGGUAA